This 898-nucleotide ribosomal RNA is filed under the name uncultured Vexilliferidae. RNAcentral's name for it is "partial Bacterial large subunit ribosomal RNA". It matches the Rfam family "Bacterial large subunit ribosomal RNA", at positions 516 to 1421 of the family's 2925-position model. Lineage: Eukaryota; Discosea; Flabellinia; Dactylopodida; Vexilliferidae. The record is from RNAcentral.
GAAAAGAACCCCGGAAGGGGAGUGAAAUAGAACCUGAAACCGUGGACCUACAAGCGGUCAGAGCAGACUUGAUCUGUGAUGGCGUGCCUUUUGUAGAAUGGGCCUGCGAGUUACGUUGUGAAGCAAGGUUAAUGUAUUGAAGUACAGGAGCCGGAGGGAAACCGAGUCUGAAUAGGGCGCUUAGUUUCAUGACGUAGACGCGAAGCCGGGUGAUCUACUUAUGGCCAGGUUGAAGCUACGGUAAAACGUAGUGGAGGACCGAACCCUAGUCUGUUAAAAAAGGCAGGGAUGAGCUGUGAGUUGGAGUGAAAGGCUAAACAAACCCGGAGAUAGCUCGUUUUCACCGAAAUAGCUUUAGGGCUAGCCUCAUAAUAGUGUGCCGGAGGUAAAGCACUGGUUGGACUAGGGCCUGUCACAGGGUACCAAAUCCAAAUAAACUCUGAAUGCCGGUAUAUGUUUUAUGGGAGUCAGACUUAGGGAGAUAAGUUCCUAGGUCAAGAGGGAAACAGCCCAGACCGUUAGCUAAGGUCCCUAAAUAAUACUAAGUGGGAAAGGAAGUGUAGUGGCGAAGACAGCCAGGAGGUUGGCUUAGAAGCAGCCAUUCCUUUAAAGAGUGCGUAAUAGCUCACUGGUCGAGUCACUAUGCGCCGACAAUGUAACGGGGCUAAGUAUUAUACCGAAGCUACGGAAUCAGUAAUGAUUGGUAGGUGAACGUUCUCGAGGGCGCUGAAGGUGUGCUGUAAGGCAUGCUGGAGCUAAGAGAAGUGAGAAUGCAGGCAUGAGUAACGAAAAGACGGGUGAGAUCCCUGUCCGCCGAAAACCCAAGGUUUCCUAAGUAAAGGUCGUCUUCUUAGGGUUAGUCGGCUCCUAAGGCGAGGCAGAAAUGCGUAGUCGAUGG